This 516-nucleotide ribosomal RNA is filed under the name uncultured bacterium. RNAcentral's name for it is "bacterial SSU rRNA". It matches the Rfam family "Bacterial small subunit ribosomal RNA", at positions 30 to 507 of the family's 1533-position model. The record is from RNAcentral.
CGAACGCUGGCGGCGUGCCUAAUACAUGCAAGUCGAACGCACUCUCGUUUAGAUUGAAGGAGCUUGCUCCUGAUUGAUAACAUUUGAGUGAGUGGCGGACGGGUGAGUAACACGUGGGUAACCUGCCCUAAAGUGGGGGAUAACAUUUGGAAACGGAUGCUAAUACCGCAUAAAACCUAACACCGCAUGGUGUAGGGUUGAAAGAUGGUUUCGGCUAUCACUUUAGGAUGGACCCGCGGUGCAUUAGUUAGUUGGUGAGGUAAAGGCUCACCAAGACCGUGAUGCAUAGCCGACCUGAGAGGGUAAUCGGCCACACUGGGACUGAGACACGGCCCAGACUCCUACGGGAGGCAGCAGUAGGGAAUCUUCCACAAUGGACGAAAGUCUGAUGGAGCAACGCCGCGUGAGUGAAGAAGGUUUCGGAUCGUAAAACUCUGUUGUUGGAGAAGAAUGUAUCUGAUAGUAACUGAUCAGGUAGUGACGGUAUCCAACCAGAAAGCCACGGCUAACUACGUG